UACGGGGGGGCAAGCGUUGUUCGGAAUUACUGGGCGUAAAGGGCUCGUAGGCGGCCAACUAAGUCGGACGUGAAAUCCCUCAGCUUAACUGGGGAACUGCGUCCGAUACUGGAUGGCUUGGAUUUGGGAGAGGGAUGCGGAAUUCCAGGUGUAGCGGUGAAAUGCGUAGAUAAUCUGGAGGAACACCGGUGGCGAAGGCGGCAUCCUGGACCAAUAUUGACGCUGAGGAGCGAAAGCUAGGGGAGCAAACGGG
RNAcentral lists this ribosomal RNA (253 nucleotides) under uncultured bacterium. RNAcentral describes it as "partial 16S ribosomal RNA". It matches the Rfam family "Bacterial small subunit ribosomal RNA", at positions 524 to 776 of the family's 1533-position model. The record is from RNAcentral.